Molecule: RNA transcript, 2691 nt
Organism: Lethenteron reissneri (Far Eastern brook lamprey)
Lineage: Eukaryota; Metazoa; Chordata; Hyperoartia; Petromyzontiformes; Petromyzontidae
Gene name: LIM domain transcription factor LMO4.1-like
Source: RefSeq, a predicted model, not a curated record
AGCGCUCGAGUCGGCGGCGGCGUUGUUGGGGAGCGCUCUGCGCUCUGCGCGCCUCGGUGCCUUCCCCCGCCGCUAUCGCCCCGGUAACCCGCGCGCUCCCAUCGCCAUCCGAUUAGCCCCGACAGCCGCGAUCAAAGUGCCGCGACAGCCCGACAGGGAGAGAGAGGAGAGAGAGGGCGCCGCCUCGCACUCGUGCGCAGCGGCCCGCGGUGGCGAACCGAGCAGCGGCGGCGGCUGUGGCGGUGGUGGCGGUGAUGUAGGAGCCGCGCAGAGAGCACGAGCGGUGGUGGUGGUGGCGUGCGGCUCACGGAGCGCGACUCGCGUGCGGCAGCGGGAGCCGCCGCGGGCGAGGAGGAGGAGGAGGAGGCGAGGGGAGGGAGCCCCGCAGCGAUCUCCGCCGGAAUAAAAGGCCACGGUCUCGUGUUUCCUUAUCAAUCGGGCGGCCGCUGGUGGCCGCAGCUCCGCGGAGGGCGGCAUGGUGAACCCGGCCCGCGGCAAGGAGAGUGGGGGGCCUUGCGCCGCCGGCGGGGGAGCGGCUGGCGCGGGGGGAGGAGCUGGGGGGGGCGCUGGAGGAGGAGGAGGGGCGGGAGGGGGGGCCCUGCCCGCGGGGGGCGGCACUGCGCCGGGCGGCAAGACGUGCGCGGGCUGCGGGGCGCGCAUCGCGGACCGCUUCCUGCUCUACUCGAUGGAGCGCUACUGGCACACGCGCUGCCUGCGCUGCUCCUGCUGCCAGGCGCAGCUGGGCGACAUCGGCUCCUCGUGCUACACGCGCCAGGGCAUGAUCCUGUGCCGGAACGACUACAUCAGGAUGUUUGGGCACAGCGGUGCAUGCAGCGCGUGCAGCGUCUCCAUCCCCGCCAGCGAGCUCGUCAUGCGCGCACAGGGCAGCGUCUACCACCUCAAGUGUUUCACCUGCGCCGUGUGCCGGACGCGCCUGCUGCCCGGGGACCGGUUCCACUACCUGAACGGGCGCCUCUUCUGCGAGCACGAUCACCCCGGCGGGGCGCUGCCCCCGGGGGCCACGCCACACCUGGGCACCCACCUACCCCCGCUGCCCUCCGCAUCGCUUCUCCCCGACCAGAAGAGUCGAUAAAAAGAACACCGCCACGUGGGGACGCCAACAGCGGUUGCCCUACGGAUCGACUCGCCCUCGGCAUAGGAAUGAGGAAUUUGCCACGCGCUCGUGACCUUUGGGCCGUGACCCCAACGCGGACCGUCCAAAGCGCCGGUGUCCGGCUCCUCCCAGCCUGUCUUGUCUCGGUGGGGAUUGAGCGCCCGGAGCCGUCCCGAGGGUCUGCUGAAGGGAUCUGCAAUAAUACCGCCCAGGUGCCUUCAUUCAAGCCUGAAACGAUUUAAUUAGCGGCUCCGCGGCGCCGCUCGGCGUUCCCAUGAGCGAGGAGGCGGGGGGCCGGGCCUCCUCCUCCGCCCCCCCCCCACGGGGCUCAUUAUCCGCGCUCCGGGGGGGCCGCCUGCAAGCCACCGCCUCCCACACCCCCCCUCCCCCCCCCACCACCGCCCACCACUCGCCUCUCAAAGAGCCCGGGCGCAGGAAUGCGCUCAGAUCUGCUGCCAAUUAAGCUAAUUAAUGCUAAUUAAAAGAUUUUGCUAAGCUCCCUUGUCCGCCGCCCGUUGGCUAUAUAGAGUUAGUAGCGGCUAUUGGGGGGGGGAGGGUUGAUUUUGGGGGGAGAGGCAAUAAUGAGAUUCGGUUCUCAGGUCGUCGGCUUGUCCCUGGUGGCCGACUCGGCGGGGGGGGGGGGGCUGUGUCUUCUGCCGUACUCGGCGGCGUGCGAUUCGGAAUACCGGGGGCUUUCUGGGUGUUGCGCUGUUCCCACAUUUUUGUUUGUUAAACCGCGUCGCUGUCCAGUGCCGCGUUGACGACCUUCGCGAAGGUCCUCUCCCUGAGACGGCUCGCCCGCUCGCCUGCUCACCCGCCCGCUCGCUCCACGACCCCAGAGCGACGCGGGGGGGGGGGGGGGGGGGCUCAGACGACCGUGCCCGCCGCUCCUCCUCGCUUUGAGGGUGCGCGCCCCCCGUUCGUCUCGUAGGAACUGGACCCCCCACCCACCCCUGCACACGACAUUAGUAGCCGAUGGCGACUUAUUAUUAUUGUUGUACGCUUCCCUCUCCCGUGUCACUCCCGGGUGGGACAGGCCUGUCACCAGCAUUUCAAGAUGUAACGAGGGGAGGUGGGGGGGGGGGGUUGGAACCCGGUUUGUAUUUUGUAAAAAAAACAAGUAAUAAUUUGCACAGCGAGGGCCCGCCUGGUGCAGGAGAGAGGGCGACGCGGAAUGUUGGGGGGGCUGCCGGCGGUGGGAGCCAGCAGGGGCACCGGCGGUCCCCCCCACGAGGAGCGAGGGGGGGGGGUGUGGGACCGGCCUGCCGCCGGAACGUCGCUCACCGCUCGUUAAUCGCGCGUGAGGAGGAGGAGAGUGAGGAUCUCGGAGAGAGUGAGGAGGAGGAAGAGAGAGAGAGGCCGUCCCCUUCGUUGACUCGUGUAUCACCGUUCCUCUUCCUGCAUUACUUGUAAAAUUGAUUCUGGUUUAUAGGUAUUCGUGAUGUACAGGUUUAUUAAAAAAGGAAUCGCUAAAUUAUUUACAUUUUCUUACAAUUAAGUGUCGCACUCUGAAAAAAAAAUGUAUAUAUAGCAAUUGCAUUUUAGUAGCUUGGUGAAUAAAGUCACGUAAACUCCGA